GACGAACCGUCCAAACGUUAUUCGGAUUUACUGGGCUUAAAGGGUGCGUAGGCGGCCUGACAAGUUGGGUGUGAAAUACCUCGGCUCAACCGAGGAACAGCGCUCAAAACUGUCGGGCUUGAGGAAGAUAGAGGUGAGCGGAACUUAAGGUGGAGCGGUGAAAUGCGUUGAUAUCUUAAGGAACACCCGUGGCGAAAGCGGCUCACUAGAUCUUUUCUGACGCUGAGGCACGAAAGCUAGGGGAGCGAACGGG
RNAcentral lists this ribosomal RNA (253 nucleotides) under uncultured bacterium. RNAcentral's name for it is "partial 16S ribosomal RNA". It matches the Rfam family "Bacterial small subunit ribosomal RNA", at positions 524 to 776 of the family's 1533-position model. The record is from RNAcentral.